AUAUACCCCUUUCCCAACAUACACUUCUCCAAAACAAUUACUAUACCAAAUAUCCACAACUAUUACUGUUGGGAACAAGAACUUGGUAAAGGAGUGUAUGCAGAAGGGCCAAAAGAACACAGAGAUAAGGUUGUGAUGCAUGGUCUGAGGUGGAUGGCAGCUAUGAUAAUGGUCAGGUGUGUGCUUGCGAGUGGAUAAGAAGAGGGUAUGGGCUGUUAGGUGGCUUAAAUUUUCAUUUCCCUGCUUUUGUAGGUUUAUCAUCAGUCACGUCACAGUAACCCUAACUUGUUCAAAAUGAUGUUUUUUCUAACAGAAAUUCUAACAUGGUUACACCGCUGAUUUUUUUCCGUAGCCAUUUGUGUUGAAAUAUUUUGUACAGAUUCAUACUGUGUGUUAGGAUCUUGGACUAAAUAUUAUAAAUGUUCUAGCAUUGAAAAGCCAGGCCCAAAGAAAACAAUCCAGGGACCUGAUCCUGCACUCCUUUCUGAGAUCUGCAGUAGCUAUAAACAGCCCAGCGUGACCCUCAGCCCCAGAUGUGUAAAAAGGUAACUACGCUUUAUUAUUUUUUAAAAUGGAUUUUGUUUGUUUUUAUUCCUAUGCUCCCACACAAGCGAGAUAAGUAGAGCAUGCUUCUUCCUCCUGCCUACACAUUUCUCUCCCUUGAUCCUUCUAGACCCCCUGUUGGAACGGAUUCUGUUCACACUUCCACUGGUGUAGUUCUGGAGUAACACCAUUGACUUCACUGGGGUUACUCCAGAGCUAGACUUGCAUAGCUGAGAAAAACUGGCUCUUUAUUUUUUCAGGGUCUUGACUUCAUAUUCUUUCUCCCUUCUUGCAUUCCAGCAAGAAUUUCCAGUUUGCUGCCUCCUGUUUGCUGUUGCUGUUAUAAAAUCUAUCCUGCCCUUUGGUU
RNAcentral lists this long non-coding RNA (910 nucleotides) under Chrysemys picta bellii (western painted turtle). Its description in RNAcentral is "lncRNA (ENSCPBG00000008464.1)". The record is from RNAcentral. Lineage: Eukaryota; Metazoa; Chordata; Testudines; Emydidae.